This 637-nucleotide long non-coding RNA is filed under the name Equus asinus (donkey). Its description in RNAcentral is "lncRNA (ENSEASG00005036126.1)". The record is from RNAcentral. Lineage: Eukaryota; Metazoa; Chordata; Mammalia; Perissodactyla; Equidae.
CGCUGAUCUCAGCACAGGCCGUGGUAGAACCUGGAGGGAGGAUGGUCCUUUGCACUUAGUGAUAAGCUCAUCUGAGGUUGCUUUUCAAAGGGGUUCUAUUGGUGCUUGGUUUCCCAGAUCCAUCACCUCAUAGACCAAAUGCCACAGGAGCAUUUGACCUAGUUUGCCGGGACUUUCCUUGUUUUAGCACUGACAGUCUCUUGUCCUAGGAAACCCCCCAGUCCCAGGCAAUCUGGGAUGUUUGGUCACCUUAGUCAGCAUGGGUUGAAAUGUUCACCACUUGUGACCCAGAACUUUUUCUCUCACAAGGGAGAUCCACAGCUCAGCAGAUGCCUGAUUGCCUCCCGGGGGUCUCUGCACACCUCUUUUUGUGGAUGUUUGAUUGCUGGGAGGGGGAACACUUUAAGGAUCAAUGGACAAAGGUGAUCAAGAUCUGGCAACCCUACCUGGAGGGCAAAGUCGCUCUCGGUUGAGAAGCACUACAUCAGAACAAGGCUGGAAAUGGUUAUGAAAGCCAUAGAUAAAAACAAAACCAAGCACAGCUUAAUACCACCUCACUAGAGACACAUUUUAGAUACAUGCUUUAAAGAAAGACACAUUUUCCAUUUAUACUUGAAAGAAACAACCAGAGAAAAAU